Molecule: ribosomal RNA, 468 nt
Filed under: uncultured bacterium
Lineage: Bacteria
Description: partial 16S ribosomal RNA
Rfam family: Bacterial small subunit ribosomal RNA
Source: RNAcentral
GACGAACGCUGGCGGCGUGCUUAACACAUGCAAGUCGAACGGAAAGGCCCUGCUUUUGUGGGGUGCUCGAGUGGCGAACGGGUGAGUAACACGUGAGUAACCUGCCCUUGACUUUGGGAUAACUUCAGGAAACUGGGGCUAAUACCGGAUAGGAGCUCCUGCUGCAUGGUGGGGGUUGGAAAGUUUCGGCGGUUGGGGAUGGACUCGCGGCUUAUCAGCUUGUUGGUGGGGUAGUGGCUUACCAAGGCUUUGACGGGUAGCCGGCCUGAGAGGGUGACCGGCCACAUUGGGACUGAGAUACGGCCCAGACUCCUACGGGAGGCAGCAGUGGAGAAUAUUGCACAAUGGGCGGAAGCCUGAUGCAGCACCGCCGCGUGCGGGAUGACGGCCUUCGGGUUGUAAACCGCUUUCGCCUGUGACGAAGCGUGAGUGACGGUAAUGGGUAAAGAAGCACCGGCUAACUACGUG